Long non-coding RNA from Rhincodon typus (whale shark), 1117 nucleotides. RefSeq lists it as uncharacterized. NCBI's taxonomy places the organism in Eukaryota, Metazoa, Chordata, Chondrichthyes, Orectolobiformes, Rhincodontidae. The record is from RefSeq and is a predicted model, not a curated record. The transcript is spliced from 3 exons.
AUGUCACAAAUAAUGACUGCAGGUUAAUUGAUUCAGAAAGCCUUGUCUGGGUAGAUCUCUCCCUGGGCCUCUUGAGCCAGGCGAAAACAUUCCAAUGUACUGUGCAAAAAAAAGCAGCCUGGCUUAGGCGGGAGAAAAGCAGGAAGUUCCAUGAGUUUUGAUUAUGCGUAGACUAUUAGUUUUCCUGGUUCGAGUUCCAUUCUCUUUCCCCCAUCUCCACCCCCAUUCCCCUCCUCCUCCUCCCUCCCUCUCUUCCCACCUCCUUUCGUCUUCCAAGCCUAGUACCGAUAGCUCCUUUAAUUGAGACCAUUGCGCGCACACACACACAUACACACACACAUAAACACACACAUACACUCUGAUUUCUGGUGUUGCUAAACAUUCAGAACUGAACUGGAUGGGCCAUCCUCUUCUUUAUACAUAGACAUCAACAAAAAAAAAUACCUUUGUGUGUCGACAAUUUCCUCGAAGUGUUUAUUCUUUUAGGGUUGGAUGCCUGAGGCUGAGAAGAUUGUUUUUUAUUCACAGUGUAAGAACCGUACAGUGAUAGGAAUUCAUGGAAAGGAGCCUCAAUCCAGGAGGACAAAACAAAAAAAAACUUUCAGCACUUCCUCUGACUUCCAUACAGCAGUAACUGGAACGCUUGAACACAUUGACCAAGAUGAUGAAGGUAGCACAUGAUGAAAAGAAAGAUUAAAUGAGCUGUGAAGAGCAUGGCGUAGUUUCUCCACUCCCGGGAAGUACUGGACGACGAAGGGUACCCGAUUGGUCCAUCCUCUGAGGAGGACAUGAUGGUUUUCUGCUGUGGCACAUUGGAACUGGCAGUUGGAACUGAUGAGUUGAGCAUCAUUUUCUGUUCUUAUGAGGGCGUCGUUCAACAAUUUCAGGUGUCCGUCGUGUUCCUCCUUAUCUGAAUAACAAAUUGAAACCUGCAUCUCCUUUCUAACUGAUUAAAGAUUUAACAGCAUCUUAGGUCUGUUUAAUUUGCAUCAGUUGUAAGACCCUUUGAUCUUUUACUUAAAAAUUCUGUGUCUUUUUGCUUCCUGUCACAUGGGCACCUGAAGAAGGAGAGUGACUCCGAAAGCUUGUGUUUUCAAAUAAACCUGAUGGGCUAUAA